This 451-nucleotide ribosomal RNA is filed under the name Nerita albicilla. RNAcentral's name for it is "partial 16S ribosomal RNA". It matches the Rfam family "Bacterial large subunit ribosomal RNA", at positions 1913 to 2597 of the family's 2925-position model. The record is from RNAcentral. Lineage: Eukaryota; Metazoa; Mollusca; Gastropoda; Cycloneritida; Neritidae.
CNGUGAUCACUUUAACGGCCGCGGUACCCUGACCGUGCAAAGGUAGCAUAAUCAUUUGCCUUUUAAUUGGAGGCUAGUAUGAAUGGUCUGACGAGAGUAAAACUGUCUCAUAUAUAUUCAAUAGAAAUUAACUUAAAGGUGCAAAGGCCUUUAUAAUCUAAAAAGACGAGAAGACCCUGUUGAGCUUUAAUCUAGCAUUUCUUCUAUAUUGAUAAAUUCAUUUUGCUUACUAAAGAUUUUAAUUGGGGCGAUUAAGGAACACUCACCAGCUUCCUGAAAGACUAAACCGAUCCAGCAAUGUUGAUCAGCAAAGCGAGUUACCACAGGGAUAACAGCAUAAUUCUCCUUGAGAGCCCAUAUCGAAAGGAGAGAUUGUGACCUCGAUGUUGGACUAGGGUAACCAGAAGGUGCAGCCGCUUUCUUGUUUGGUCUGUUCGACCAAUAAUUCCCU